Molecule: ribosomal RNA, 816 nt
Filed under: uncultured bacterium
Lineage: Bacteria
Description: bacterial SSU rRNA
Rfam family: Bacterial small subunit ribosomal RNA
Source: RNAcentral
AGAGUUUGAUCCUGGCUCAGAUUGAACGCUGGCGGCAGGCUUAACACAUGCAGGUCGAGCGGAGAUGAGGUGCUUGCACCUUAUCUUAGCGGCGGACGGGUGAGUAAUGCUUAGGAAUCUGCCUAUUAGUGGGGGACAACAUUCCGAAAGGAAUGCUAAUACCGCAUACGUCCUACGGGAGAAAGCAGGGGAUCUUCGGACCUUGCGCUAAUAGAUGAGCCUAAGUCGGAUUAGCUAGUUGGUGGGGUAAAGGCCUACCAAGCCGACGAUCUGUAGCGGGUCUGAGAGGAUGAUCCGCCACACUGGGACUGAGACACGGCCCAGACUCCUACGGGAGGCAGCAGUGGGGAAUAUUGGACAAUGGGGGGAACCCUGAUCCAGCCAUGCCGCGUGUGUGAAGAAGGCCUUAUGGUUGUAAAGCACUUUAAGCGAGGAGGAGGCUACUGAGACUAAUACUCUUGGAUAGUGGACGUUACUCGCAGAAUAAGCACCGGCUAACUCUGUGCCAGCAGCCGCGGUAAUACAGAGGGUGCGAGCGUUAAUCGGAUUUACUGGGCGUAAAGCGUGCGUAGGCGGCUUUUUAAGUCGGAUGUGAAAUCCCCGAGCUUAACUUGGGAAUUGCAUUCGAUACUGGGAAGCUAGAGUAUGGGAGAGGAUGGUAGAAUUCCAGGUGUAGCGGUGAAAUGCGUAGAGAUCUGGAGGAAUACCGAUGGCGAAGGCAGCCAUCUGGCCUAAUACUGACGCUGAGGUACGAAAGCAUGGGGAGCAAACAGGAUUAGAUACCCUGGUAGUCCAUGCCGUAAACGAUGUCUACUA